Zingiber officinale is the source of this 1680-nucleotide long non-coding RNA. RefSeq lists it as uncharacterized. The transcript has 3 exons. The record is from RefSeq and is a predicted model, not a curated record. Lineage: Eukaryota; Viridiplantae; Streptophyta; Magnoliopsida; Zingiberales; Zingiberaceae.
UUUGUGCCAUGUAUGAUUUGUGUUGUGUUAGUCAUUGGUCAGAUCAUAUGUUGUGAUAUGUUGAUUCUUAAUGGUUUACGGGUGGAUAUCCUCUUACACAACAUCUAAAUGUGGUAAUAUCUGAUUUUCAGAUACUUUAUUAGUGAAUAUAUGACUUAAGGAUUUAUUGUUUGGUAUUUGAGGUGGAUAGAAACAUAAGGAGUAGCACUUGUGUGAUGAUUAUGGAUUUGGUGAUUUGUAGUUGGUGAUUUGAUUUCAAUGAUCUUACGGUUGAUUGACCCUUGGAUUUUGGAUUAGAACUUUUGUAUGGUGGAUACUUGAGUAUUUGGAGGAUCUAUUGAUAGUGGAUUAUGGAUUUCUGAAGUAGUUGACUUAACUACGGGUAGCUAGAAAGUAGUGUGGAGUAGCGGAAGCAUGAUGAGCUCAUAACCCACAGAGUCAUAUCUUACGAUUGGAGAUUUGUUCAUGGAUACUUGGAUUGAAUGGUAUAAGAGUAUCUUGUUUGGUUGUUAUCCUUGGAUGAGGAUCCCCGAGUUAAGUAGUAAAUUUGGGGACUAAAUUUUUAUUAGUGGGGGAGAAUGUAAAAUACCGAACUAAAUAAUAAUUAUAUAAUAAGGUUUAAUAGGGUAAUAAUUUUAACGAAAUUUUUAGAAAUUUUCUGGGAUUUAAUUGAACCUCGUAUGAUGUAUAUUAAGGGGAUGCAUUUAUAGGCUUAGGAAAAAGCCUGUUUGGAAAUACCUGGAGGUGGGAGUUGAUUGAGAAAGAGAUCUAAGGUUUAAUCAAAAUUUCCCUAGGUUAUAAAAACAUCUCCUGUGCCCUAGCUUCCUUAUCCGCCGAAACCCAUCUUCCCCAAACCCCCGUCGCAACCUCUCUUCCCUCUCCCUCUCUCGAUCUCCUGCACCUCAGCCAACGAUCUCCUCCUCCGCACGCGGGCACCAGACGCCGAGCCACAGCGGCCUCUCCUUCUCUUUCGAGUCACAGCCGUGGCCUCACCUCUUCGUUGAGCCCCCAGCUGUCGCCCGAUUCCUCUCUGCCCUGCGCCCUAGUUGUCCUUGACGCCUGCGCCACAAGGGAGCUGGUCGCCGGUAGCUGAGCACUCCAUCCUUGUCUUCAUCACCGUCGACAAUCUCGACCCGAGCGAGAAUGCCCUGUCGUCUUCCCGGUGAUUGCCCUUCUUCCUUGACUAGCUGGCUACACGGUCAGAACCUCGGCCAAGAGAGGAAAGGCCGAGCCCUAGCCUUGAUUCACUGCCGCCACCUUCUAUUUGUCUCCGGCGGAGGAUCACAGAUCAAGGCUUCGAAUUUGGGUCUGCCAUCGUUGGUUACCUGGUUGCCGGGAGAUAGUCUUCGUGGGAGUUAAUUCCGUGGGCAAAGAUUUGAGGUGUCCACUUCAACCUUGGCUUUGCAUCAGUUGAUAGCACUAGUCCCGAUUCGUCUGGAAUGCUCCCCCAUUGUUGCAAUAACAAAUGCCUCUCUGGAGGAAAUGCUUCCCUAGAAGAAACGACGUUGUUGUGGCCUUGAUGAUACAUCUUCUGCUUGGUAAUCCUAUGCACAUCAGAUCUUUGAGUAGUUGAAACUUGUCGCUUUAGAUUCAUCUACUUCGUAUUUCUGGAAUGCCAGGACAUGCACAUCUAUGAUCUAUCAUUUUCCCAAAGGCUCAUCUACUUCUCUUGCAGCUGAA